GCCUUUAAGGUGUAACGGUAGCACACUCGGCGCGUAUUCGAGAGAUCCAGGUUCGAAUCCCGGCGAAGACA
RNAcentral lists this transfer RNA (71 nucleotides) under Stegodyphus mimosarum. It matches the Rfam family "tRNA". From Rfam's summary of the family: Transfer RNA (tRNA) molecules are approximately 80 nucleotides in length. Their secondary structure includes four short double-helical elements and three loops (D, anti-codon, and T loops). The record is from Rfam by way of RNAcentral. Lineage: Eukaryota; Metazoa; Arthropoda; Arachnida; Araneae; Eresidae.